RNAcentral lists this ribosomal RNA (570 nucleotides) under uncultured bacterium. RNAcentral describes it as "bacterial SSU rRNA". It matches the Rfam family "Bacterial small subunit ribosomal RNA", at positions 276 to 842 of the family's 1533-position model. The record is from RNAcentral.
ACGAUGCGUAGGGGUUCUGAGAGGAAGGCCCCCCACACUGGGACUGAGACACGGCCCAGACUCCUACGGGAGGCAGCAGUGAGGAAUAUUGGUCAAUGGGCGGAAGCCUGAACCAGCCAAGUCGCGUGAGGGAUUAAGGCCCUGCGGGUCGUAAACCUCUUUUGCCGGGGAGCAGUGGUCCGGACGCGUCCGGGCCGGGAGAGUACCCGGAGAAAAAGCAUCGGCUAACUCCGUGCCAGCAGCCGCGGUAAUACGGAGGAUGCGAGCGUUAUCCGGAUUUAUUGGGUUUAAAGGGUGCGUAGGCGGGCAUUUAAGCCGGCGGUCAAAUGUCGGGGCUCAACCCCGGCCUGCCGUCGGAACUGGGUGCCUUGAGUGGGCGAGAAGUAUGCGGAAUGCGUGGUGUAGCGGUGAAAUGCAUAGAUAUCACGCAGAACCCCGAUUGCGAAGGCAGCAUACCGGCGCCCGACUGACGCUGAGGCACGAAAGUGCGGGUAUCGAACAGGAUUAGAUACCCUGGUAGUCCGCACAGUAAACGAUGGAUGCUAUCUGUCCGGGCCGAAUGAGGCCUGG